CAGCAGCCGCGGGAAUACGUAGGUGGCAAGCGUUGUCCGGAAUUAUUGGGCGUAAAGCGCGCGCAGGUGGUUUAAUAAGUCUGAUGUGAAAGCCCACGGCCCAACCGUGGAGGGUCAUUGGAAACUGUUAAACUUGAGUGCAGGAGAGAAAAGUGGAAUUCCUAGUGUAGCGGUGAAAUGCGUAGAGAUUAGGAGGAACACCAGUGGCGAAGGCGGCUUUUUGGCCUGUAACUGACACUGAGGCGCGAAAGCGUGGGGAGCAAACAGGAUUAGAGACCCGCGUAGUCCCUGUCUCUUAUAC
RNAcentral lists this ribosomal RNA (301 nucleotides) under uncultured bacterium. Its description in RNAcentral is "partial 16S ribosomal RNA". It matches the Rfam family "Bacterial small subunit ribosomal RNA", at positions 509 to 807 of the family's 1533-position model. The record is from RNAcentral.